GACGAACGCUGGCGGCGGGCUUAACACAUGCAAGUCGAACGGAAAGGCCCUGCUUGUGUGGGGUGCUCGAGUGGCGAACGGGUGAGUAACACGUGAGUAACCUGCCCUUGACUUUGGGAUAACUUCAGGAAACUGGGGCUAAUACCGGAUAGGAGCUCCUGCUGCAUGGUGGGGGUUGGAAAGUUUGGGUGGUUGGGGAUGGACUCGCGGCUUAUCAGAUUGUUGGUGGGGUAGUGGUUUACCAAGGCUUUGACGGGUAGCCGGCCUGGGAGGGUGACCGGCCACAUUGGGACGGAGAUACGGCACAGACUCCUCCGGGAGGCAGCAGUGGGGAAUAUUGCACAAUGGGCGGAAGCCUACUGCAGCAACGCCGCGUGCGGGAUGACGGCCUUCGGGUUGUAAACCGCUUUCGCCUGUGACGAAGCGUGAGUGACGGUAAUGGGUAAAGAAGCACCGGCUAACUACGUG
Molecule: ribosomal RNA, 468 nt
Filed under: uncultured bacterium
Lineage: Bacteria
Description: partial 16S ribosomal RNA
Rfam family: Bacterial small subunit ribosomal RNA
Source: RNAcentral